AGAGUUUGAUCCUGGCUCAGAUUGAACGCUGGCGGAAUGCUUUACACAUGCAAGUCGAACGGUAGAGGGGGCAACCCCUUGUGAGUGGCGAACGGGUGAGUAAUAUAUCGGAACGUGCCCAGUCGUGGGGGAUAACGUAGCGAAAGUUACGCUAAUACCGCAUACGAUCUACGGAUGAAAGCGGGGGAUCGCAAGACCUCGCGCGAUUGGAGCGGCCGAUAUCAGAUUAGGUAGUUGGUGGGGUAAAGGCUCACCAAGCCAACGAUCUGUAGCUGGUCUGAGAGGACGACCAGCCACACUGGAACUGAGACACGGUCCAGACUCCUACGGGAGGCAGCAGUGGGGAAUUUUGGACAAUGGACGCAAGUCUGAUCCAGCCAUUCCGCGUGCAGGAUGAAGGCCCUCGGGUUGUAAACUGCUUUUGUACGGAACGAAAAGGUUUCUAUUAAUACUAGGAGCUCAUGACGGUACCGUAAGAAUAAGCACCGGCUAACUACGUGCCAGCAGCCGCGGUAAUACGUAGGGUGCAAGCGUUAAUCGGAAUUACUGGGCGUAAAGCGUGCGCAGGCGGUUAUGUAAGACAGAGGUGAAAUCCCCGGGCUCAACCUGGGAACUGCCUUUGUGACUGCAUAGCUAGAGUACGGUAGAGGGGGAUGGAAUUCCGCGUGUAGCAGUGAAAUGCGUAGAUAUGCGGAGGAACACCGAUGGCGAAGGCAAUCCCCUGGACCUGUACUGACGCUCAUGCACGAAAGCGUGGGGAGCAAACAGGAUUAGAUACCCUGGUAGUCCACGCCCUAAACGAUGUCAACUGGUUGUUGGGUCUUCACUGACUCAGUAACGAAGCUAACGCGUGAAGUUGACCGCCUGGGGAGUACGGCCGCAAGGUUGAAACUCAAAGGAAUUGACGGGGACCCGCACAAGCGGUGGAUGAUGUGGUUUAAUUCGAUGCAACGCGAAAAACCUUACCCACCUUUGACAUGUACGGAAGCCUUUAGAGAUAGAGGCGUGCUCGAAAGAGAGCCGUAACACAGGUGCUGCAUGGCUGUCGUCAGCUCGUGUCGUGAGACGUUGGGUUAAGUCCCGCAACGAGCGCAACCCUUGUCAUUAGUUGCUACAUUCAGUUGGGCACUCUAAUGAGACUGCCGGUGACAAACCGGAGGAAGGUGGGGAUGACGUCAAUCCUCAUGGCCCUUAAAGGUGGGGCUACACACGUCAUACAAUGGCUGGUACAAAGGGUUGCCAACCCGCGAGGGGGAGCCAAUCCCAUAAAACCAGUCGUAGUCCGGAUCGCAGUCUGCAACUCGACUGCGUGAAGUCGGAAUCGCUAGUAAUCGUGGAUCAGAAUGUCACGGUGAAUACGUUCCCGGGUCUUGUACACACCGCCCGUCACACCAUGGGAGCGGGUCUCGCCAGAAGUAGUUAGCCUAACCGCAAGGAGGGCGAUUACCACGGCGGGGUUCGUGACUGGGGUGAAGUCGUAACAAGGUA
RNAcentral lists this ribosomal RNA (1488 nucleotides) under metagenome. RNAcentral's name for it is "bacterial SSU rRNA". It matches the Rfam family "Bacterial small subunit ribosomal RNA". The record is from RNAcentral.